CCUACGGGGUGCAGCAGUGAGGAAUAUUGGUCAAUGGACGAGAGUCUGAACCAGCCAAGUAGCGUGAAGGAUGACUGCCCUAUGGGUUGUAAACUUCUUUUAUAUGGGAAUAAAACGUUCCACGUGUGGGAUUUUGUAUGUACCUUCUGAAUAAGGAUCGGCUAACUCCGUGCCAGCAGCCGCGGUAAUACGGAGGAUCCGAGCGUUAUCCGGAUUUAUUGGGUUUAAAGGGAGCGUAGGUGGAUUGUUAAGUCAGUUGUGAAAGUUUGCGGCUCAACCGUAAAAUGGCAGUUGAAACUGGCAGUCUUGAGUACAGUAGAGGUGGGCGGAAUGCGUGGUGUAGCGGUGAAAUGCUUAGAUAUCACGAAGAACUCCGAUUGCGAAGGCAGUUCACUGGACUGCAACUGACACUGAGGCUCGAAAGUGUGGGUAUCAAACAGGAUUAGAUACCCGAGUAGUC
Molecule: ribosomal RNA, 460 nt
Filed under: uncultured bacterium
Lineage: Bacteria
Description: partial 16S ribosomal RNA
Rfam family: Bacterial small subunit ribosomal RNA
Source: RNAcentral